RNAcentral lists this ribosomal RNA (2926 nucleotides) under Salmonella enterica subsp. enterica serovar Senftenberg. RNAcentral's name for it is "23S ribosomal RNA". It matches the Rfam family "Bacterial large subunit ribosomal RNA". The record is from RNAcentral. Lineage: Bacteria; Pseudomonadati; Pseudomonadota; Gammaproteobacteria; Enterobacterales; Enterobacteriaceae.
GGGUUGUGAGGUUAAGCGACUAAGCGUACACGGUGGAUGCCCUGGCAGUCAGAGGCGAUGAAGGACGUGCUAAUCUGCGAUAAGCGCCGGUAAGGUGAUAUGAACCGUUAUAACCGGCGAUUUCCGAAUGGGGAAACCCAGUGUGAUUCGUCACACUAUCAUUAACUGAAUCCAUAGGUUAAUGAGGCGAACCGGGGGAACUGAAACAUCUAAGUACCCCGAGGAAAAGAAAUCAACCGAGAUUCCCCCAGUAGCGGCGAGCGAACGGGGAGGAGCCCAGAGCCUGAAUCAGCAUGUGUGUUAGUGGAAGCGUCUGGAAAGGCGCGCGAUACAGGGUGACAGCCCCGUACACAAAAGCGCACAUGCUGUGAGCUCGAUGAGUAGGGCGGGACACGUGGUAUCCUGUCUGAAUAUGGGGGGACCAUCCUCCAAGGCUAAAUACUCCUGACUGACCGAUAGUGAACCAGUACCGUGAGGGAAAGGCGAAAAGAACCCCGGCGAGGGGAGUGAAAAAGAACCUGAAACCGUGUACGUACAAGCAGUGGGAGCACCCUUUGGGGUGUGACUGCGUACCUUUUGUAUAAUGGGUCAGCGACUUAUAUUCUGUAGCAAGGUUAACCGUAUAGGGGAGCCGGAGGGAAACCGAGUCUUAACCGGGCGUUAAGUUGCAGGGUAUAGACCCGAAACCCGGUGAUCUAGCCAUGGGCAGGUUGAAGGUUGGGUAACACUAACUGGAGGACCGAACCGACUAAUGUUGAAAAAUUAGCGGAUGACCUGUGGCUGGGGGUGAAAGGCCAAUCAAACCGGGAGAUAGCUGGUUCUCCCCGAAAGCUAUUUAGGUAGCGCCUCGUGAAUUCAUCUCCGGGGGUAGAGCACUGUUUCGGCUAGGGGGCCAUCCCGGCUUACCAACCCGAUGCAAACUGCGAAUACCGGAGAAUGUUAUCACGGGAGACACACGGCGGGUGCUAACGUCCGUCGUGAAGAGGGAAACAACCCAGACCGCCAGCUAAGGUCCCAAAGUCAUGGUUAAGUGGGAAACGAUGUGGGAAGGCCCAGACAGCCAGGAUGUUGGCUUAGAAGCAGCCAUCAUUUAAAGAAAGCGUAAUAGCUCACUGGUCGAGUCGGCCUGCGCGGAAGAUGUAACGGGGCUAAACCAUGCACCGAAGCUGCGGCAGCGACACUGUGUGUUGUUGGGUAGGGGAGCGUUCUGUAAGCCUGUGAAGGUGGCCUGUGAGGGUUGCUGGAGGUAUCAGAAGUGCGAAUGCUGACAUAAGUAACGAUAAAGCGGGUGAAAAGCCCGCUCGCCGGAAGACCAAGGGUUCCUGUCCAACGUUAAUCGGGGCAGGGUGAGUCGACCCCUAAGGCGAGGCCGAAAGGCGUAGUCGAUGGGAAACGGGUUAAUAUUCCCGUACUUGGUGUUACUGCGAAGGGGGGACGGAGAAGGCUAUGUUGGCCGGGCGACGGUUGUCCCGGUUUAAGCGUGUAGGUGUGUGUUCCAGGUAAAUCCGGUUCACUUUAACACUGAGGCGUGACGACGAGGCACUACGGUGCUGAAGCAACAAAUGCCCUGCUUCCAGGAAAAGCCUCUAAGCAUCAGGUAACAUCAAAUCGUACCCCAAACCGACACAGGUGGUCAGGUAGAGAAUACCAAGGCGCUUGAGAGAACUCGGGUGAAGGAACUAGGCAAAAUGGUGCCGUAACUUCGGGAGAAGGCACGCUGACACGUAGGUGAAGUGAUUUACUCAUGGAGCUGAAGUCAGUCGAAGAUACCAGCUGGCUGCAACUGUUUAUUAAAAACACAGCACUGUGCAAACACGAAAGUGGACGUAUACGGUGUGACGCCUGCCCGGUGCCGGAAGGUUAAUUGAUGGGGUCAGCGCAAGCGAAGCUCCUGAUCGAAGCCCCGGUAAACGGCGGCCGUAACUAUAACGGUCCUAAGGUAGCGAAAUUCCUUGUCGGGUAAGUUCCGACCUGCACGAAUGGCGUAAUGAUGGCCAGGCUGUCUCCACCCGAGACUCAGUGAAAUUGAACUCGCUGUGAAGAUGCAGUGUACCCGCGGCAAGACGGAAAGACCCCGUGAACCUUUACUAUAGCUUGACACUGAACAUUGAGCCUUGAUGUGUAGGAUAGGUGGGAGGCUUUGAAGUGUGGACGCCAGUCUGCAUGGAGCCGACCUUGAAAUACCACCCUUUAAUGUUUGAUGUUCUAACGUGGACCCGUAAUCCGGGUUGCGGACAGUGUCUGGUGGGUAGUUUGACUGGGGCGGUCUCCUCCUAAAGAGUAACGGAGGAGCACGAAGGUUGGCUAAUCCUGGUCGGACAUCAGGAGGUUAGUGCAAUGGCAUAAGCCAGCUUGACUGCGAGCGUGACGGCGCGAGCAGGUGCGAAAGCAGGUCAUAGUGAUCCGGUGGUUCUGAAUGGAAGGGCCAUCGCUCAACGGAUAAAAGGUACUCCGGGGAUAACAGGCUGAUACCGCCCAAGAGUUCAUAUCGACGGCGGUGUUUGGCACCUCGAUGUCGGCUCAUCACAUCCUGGGGCUGAAGUAGGUCCCAAGGGUAUGGCUGUUCGCCAUUUAAAGUGGUACGCGAGCUGGGUUUAGAACGUCGUGAGACAGUUCGGUCCCUAUCUGCCGUGGGCGCUGGAGAACUGAGGGGGGCUGCUCCUAGUACGAGAGGACCGGAGUGGACGCAUCACUGGUGUUCGGGUUGUCAUGCCAAUGGCACUGCCCGGUAGCUAAAUGCGGAAGAGAUAAGUGCUGAAAGCAUCUAAGCACGAAACUUGCCCCGAGAUGAGUUCUCCCUGAGACUUAAAGUCUCCUGAAGGAACGUUGAAGACGACGACGUUGAUAGGCCGGGUGUGUAAGCGCAGCGAUGCGUUGAGCUAACCGGUACUAAUGAACCGUGAGGCUUAACCUUACAACGCCGAAG